This 251-nucleotide ribosomal RNA is filed under the name uncultured prokaryote. Its description in RNAcentral is "partial 16S rRNA". It matches the Rfam family "Bacterial small subunit ribosomal RNA", at positions 525 to 775 of the family's 1533-position model. The record is from RNAcentral.
ACGGAGGGUGCAAGCGUUAUUCGGAUUUAUUGGGCGUAAAGGGCGCGCAGGCUGCCUGUUAAGUCAGAUGUGAAAGCCCCCGGCUUAACCGGGGAAGUGCAUUUGAAACUGACAGGCUUGAGUAUGGGAGAGGAAAUCGGAAUUCCUGGUGUAGCGGUGACCGGCGUAGAUAUCAGGCGGAACACCGGUGGCGAGAGCAGAAUUCCGGAUCAAUACUGCCGCUGAGGGGCGAAGGUGAUGGGAGGAAGCAG